GUGGUCUAAAAAGAUUAGUUUUAGACUUAUUAACAAAAAUUCUAGAAUCAUUUCUAGGUGGCCUAAAAUGAUUAUUUCUAGGCUCGUUUACAAAAAUCCGAGAAUUAUUUCUAGGUGGUUUAACCUCAUUUUUAUCAUCCUUUUUAAUAACCUCACUUGUUCUAGAAUCAUUUACACUACAUUUUUCUAGUGUAUUUCUA
This 200-nucleotide long non-coding RNA is filed under the name Nicotiana benthamiana. Its description in RNAcentral is "long non-coding RNA (NBEN_LNC011497)". The record is from RNAcentral. Lineage: Eukaryota; Viridiplantae; Streptophyta; Magnoliopsida; Solanales; Solanaceae.